RNAcentral lists this ribosomal RNA (301 nucleotides) under uncultured bacterium. RNAcentral describes it as "partial 16S ribosomal RNA". It matches the Rfam family "Bacterial small subunit ribosomal RNA", at positions 509 to 807 of the family's 1533-position model. The record is from RNAcentral.
CAGUAGCCACGGUAAUACGGAGGGAGCUAGCGUUGUUCGGAAUUACUGGGCGUAAAGCGCGCGUAGGCGGUUACUCAAGUCAGAGGUGAAAGCCCGGGGCUCAACCCCGGAACUGCCUUUGAAACUAGGUGACUAGAAUCUUGGAGAGGUCAGUGGAAUUCCGAGUGUAGAGGUGAAAUUCGUAGAUAUUCGGAAGAACACCAGUGGGGAAGGCGGCUCACUGGCCCGGUACUGACGCUGAGGUGCGAAAGCGUGGGGAGCAAACAGGAUUAGAUACCCGAGUAGUCCCUGUCUCUUAUAC